Molecule: ribosomal RNA, 253 nt
Filed under: uncultured bacterium
Lineage: Bacteria
Description: partial 16S ribosomal RNA
Rfam family: Bacterial small subunit ribosomal RNA
Source: RNAcentral
UACGUAGGGGGCUAGCGUUGUCCGGAAUCAUUGGGCGUAAAGCGCGUGUAGGCGGCUUUGCAAGUCGGGUGUGAAAGCCCUCAGCUCAACUGAGGAAGUGCGCCCGAAACUGCAGAGCUUGAGUACCGGAGAGGAUGGUGGAAUUCCCCAAGUAGAGGUGAAAUUCGUAGAUAUGGGGAGGAACACCGGUGGCGAAGGCGACCAUCUGGACGGAUACUGACGCUGAGACGCGAAAGCGUGGGUAGCAAACAGG